AGUUUGAUCAUGGCUCAGAUUGAACGCUGGCGGCAUGCUUUACACAUGCAAGUCGAACGGUAACAGGCCGCAAGGUGCUGACGAGUGGCGAACGGGUGAGUAAUGCAUCGGAACGUGCCCAGUCUGGGGGAUAACGCAGCGAAAGCUGCGCUAAUACCGCAUACGAUCUAUGGAUGAAAGCGGGGGACCGUAAGGCCUCGCGCGAUUGGAGCGGCCGAUGUCAGAUUAGGUAGUUGGUGGGGUAAAGGCUCACCAAGCCAACGAUCUGUAGCUGGUCUGAGAGGACGACCAGCCACACUGGGACUGAGACACGGCCCAGACUCCUACGGGAGGCAGCAGUGGGGAAUUUUGGACAAUGGGCGCAAGCCUGAUCCAGCAAUGCCGCGUGCAGGAAGAAGGCCUUCGGGUUGUAAACUGCUUUUGUACGGAACGAAAAGGCUCUGGUUAAUACCUGGGGCACAUGACGGUACCGUAAGAAUAAGCACCGGCUAACUACGUG
This 499-nucleotide ribosomal RNA is filed under the name uncultured bacterium. Its description in RNAcentral is "bacterial SSU rRNA". It matches the Rfam family "Bacterial small subunit ribosomal RNA", at positions 10 to 507 of the family's 1533-position model. The record is from RNAcentral.